GUGAAUCAUCGAAUUUUUGAACGCACAUUGCGCUUCCUGGUAUUCCGGGAAGUAUGCCUGUUUGAGGGUCAGUAUUAACAACAAUUUGGUUUUUUUGCAAAUUGUGACGUUUCCGGAGUUUGGGCUAUCUUAACUUUUUUGGUUAAGUGGCUUAAAAUUGACCUUAUUUGCGCAUUUUUAGACGUACAUGAAUUUUUUUUUUAUUCGUUUAUUCUUAAUUCCAAAAUCUUAUUAGAUCCGAUCACAUCGUGUCGUUUCGUGUUCAU
Molecule: unclassified non-coding RNA, 266 nt
Filed under: Glomeraceae sp.
Lineage: Eukaryota; Fungi; Glomeromycota; Glomeromycetes; Glomerales; Glomeraceae
Description: partial contains 5.8S ribosomal RNA and internal transcribed spacer 2
Rfam family: 5.8S ribosomal RNA (bases 1-71)
Source: RNAcentral